CGGGGAUAGGCCAGCAUCCGGUCCGAAGCGAGCCGAACCCUGUCAUCAAACCUAACCGCGGCCCAGAAUCAGGGAAAAAGCUCCAACUCAGAUUUAGUUUCCCUUUUGUUUUUAUGGAGCAGUGACAACAGCCACUCUGCCUUGUGACAUUGCAAGAGCCAAAGAAAAGAUUUCUUCUGACCUUCCAAGAUCCGAAGAGGCCAG
Long non-coding RNA from Lampris incognitus (smalleye Pacific opah), 204 nucleotides. RefSeq lists it as uncharacterized. The record is from RefSeq and is a predicted model, not a curated record. The transcript is spliced from 3 exons. NCBI's taxonomy places the organism in Eukaryota, Metazoa, Chordata, Actinopteri, Lampriformes, Lampridae.